GCUGGGUGUGGUGGCACAUGCCUGUAAUCCCAGUGGCUCAGGAGACUGAGGCAGGAGGAUCAUAAGUUCAGCCUCAGCAACUUAGUGUGGCCUUAAGCAACACAGCGAGAUCCUGUCUCUA
This 121-nucleotide small RNA is filed under the name Marmota monax (woodchuck). Lineage: Eukaryota; Metazoa; Chordata; Mammalia; Rodentia; Sciuridae. The record is from RNAcentral.